GAUGAACGCUGGCGGCAUGCCUAAUACAUGCAAGUCGUGCGAGAAGCUAUCUUCGGAUAGCGGACAGCGGCGGACGGGUGAGUAACACGUAGAAAUAUACCCCAAGGUGAGGGAUAAGCAUCGGAAACGGUGUCUAAUACCGCAUAUUAUCUAAGGAUAAAAGAUUUAUCGCCAUGGGAAUAGUCUGCGUCUGAUUAGCUAGUUGGUAGGGUAAAGGCCUACCAAGGCGAUGAUCGGUAGCUGGUUUGAGAGGAUGAUCAGCCACACUGGGACUGAGACACGGCCCAGACUCCUACGGGAGGCAGCAGUAGGGAAUUUUCCACAAUGGACGAAAGUCUGAUGGAGCAAUGCCGCGUGCAGGAUGAAGGUCUUCGGAUUGUAAACUGCUUUUAUAGUUGAAGAUUAUGACGUAAGCUAUGAAUAAGGACCGGCUAACUACGUG
RNAcentral lists this ribosomal RNA (442 nucleotides) under uncultured bacterium. Its description in RNAcentral is "bacterial SSU rRNA". It matches the Rfam family "Bacterial small subunit ribosomal RNA", at positions 28 to 507 of the family's 1533-position model. The record is from RNAcentral.